Molecule: long non-coding RNA, 3754 nt
Organism: Gallus gallus (chicken)
Lineage: Eukaryota; Metazoa; Chordata; Aves; Galliformes; Phasianidae
Exons: 2
Source: RefSeq, a predicted model, not a curated record
GAGGCUGGCAGGAAGGGCAGAAGCUCACCUCCCCCAGCACAGCUGUUACCACCAGCUCACAGCAGCAUGCAGCCGUCCCCAGCCCGUCCCAGCGUGUCACCCUGCCCUCAACAGCCAGAUUGAAGUGUUCUUCCAUCAGCUUCUACUGGUCACAGACAAGACAGAUGCCUUAACCCCGUGUUUAAAAGAAAAUAACAGAUGAUAUGCGAGGUAAACUCAGGCUGCAAUUCUCUCUAUGGGUUUAAAUCUUUUGCUUUCAGCAAGUUUUUGCACUAUUCUUCCCCUUCUGAGUCCACAACUUCAGGCACACAGCCACAUCCAGGAAACCCUCAGGUAAGACCACAAGGGACAGGGCACACCACAAGCAUCCCAAAGAUGAAGCAAAAACUGACUUGGGCAGAACCUCUUUCUUCCCAGCACCCAACGUAACCAUUGGACCAACACAAAGACCCCCAGGAUGCUCCAUGGGGUGGAGUGGCUUCCUGAGCCCAUCAGCCUGCAGCACUGGGGCUGCUCACCCUCCGUAAUCUCUUUUCUCCAGGAUUGCCUUCAGCAUGCCUUUAAGGGCACCAAGGCGGGAUGGGAGUGCACAUCCCACCACCAGGGACAAAACCCCGUCCAGGGCUUUUAUCACAGAUGACAAGGAUCUCACAGCAGGUGUAGGAGUGACUGCAGGGAUCUCUCUGUUGGGAACCACCAGGAAGGAAGCUGCUUACAGGGAAAGAUCCAAAACCUCACAUCCAGAAGCAGCUCUUCUGGCACACCCAAGCACCUCCAAGCUCCCAGAUCAGCUGCACUUGUGCCACCUCCAUCCCCAUUCAGCUUUUCCAGGACUUACUCCACAUCUGCCAUCUGUCAAAAGGGCUUGGGAGGAAAGCUCUCAUGGAACCCAACUGAAAAACAGCACUCCUUUUCCUAAAACGGAACACUUUCUCCCAAACUUGUUUUCUAAAAGCACAGAGACAUUUCCAGCCCUGCCUUCUGCUCCUGCACCACACCACAGAGAGGUAUUUUCCACACUGAAAAGCCAUUUUAGCUCAUUCUUUACAGUUACUUUUACAUUUUACAUCAAUUUACAUGUUUAUAGUCACCUUUUCCCCCACAGGCAACCACAUUACACCCUCACAAAGAACUGAAAUAAAAAGUUGGGUAGGGGGGAUCCCCUGGGCCCAGAGGUGAUGAGGGAAGGAAGAACCCUUGUGCAGCGGCCUGCACUCCUCCAGAAACACUUAUGCUGGCUGCACAACACAGAGGGAACUCCCUGCAUCCACAGCUUUUCUUCCUGUUUCCCAAAUAAUAAGGAGCUCCUCGGAAGCACCUUUUUGGCAUUCAAAAUAUUUGCACUCUCCCACCAGAAAAGCAACGCAGUGCUUUCCCAGGGCCCUGCUGAUUUAGCAUAGCUUAGAAAUAACGCUGGGCUUCCAGCUAUUGCCAUGCGGGAAACAAAAGAAACGAAUCAAAGGAAAAUGGUGGCGCACAUUCACAAACAUCACUGUGUUUUGGAGCUGAGUCUCCUCGACGACCCAGCUUUAUCAAAAAGUGCAGGGCAGCAAGCCAAAGCACCUAUCCCAGCUUUUCGUUGUGCCAUCACAAUGUUUCUCUGCAGCUCCAAAUGGAGUGUUCAGUGCGAAAACCCAUUCUCCUUGGGCUGCUCCUGUGACAGGACAUGCAGCACAAGGCAGGAGGGAUAGAGCCAACCAACAGUGUGCAGGACGCCUUCAUCUCACACCACCACUCCGCUCCAGGAAACCCACUGCUUUCUGCUGAAUUAGCAGGAAAGGAAGGGAUCCCAACACUGGGACAUAGCAUCACUGCUUACCUACUUGUAUGCAAGAAACCAGGCAAUUCCGGUGCUGGGAGGCACCCAGCAGCACCAUGCAGAUACUCACAGUGCUGUACACGGCGGAGACGGUUGGCGUGAAGAUCCGCUCCUCCAGGGGCUGCUGCACGGGGCCGCGGGGGAUCCUGCAGGCAGCGCGUUAAGGAAAGCAGCACAGGGAGAGACGUGGGGGGAAGUGCUGCUUUCUCCCCCCACCCCACACAGAGCCAUAGCCAUCAUCAUCCUGUUUGCAUUUGCCUCCCUAUGGCAGUAAGUCCCCUCCCUGCCCACCCAACGAGGCUGCUGCCAACAGGUUUUAAGUCUCAGUGUGGAGCCAACUGCUGUAGUUCUCUUGAAAUGGAAAGGUACCAAGGGCACCCAGAGGAAAUAAAGAGAGAAUGGAACAAGCAAAUGAGCAAUCCCUACUCCAAAAAGGGCCCGUUCUUGAGUCUGGAAAAACUGUUUCAGCCUCAAGCAGGUAAGAAAAUAAAUCCUAAUUUUAGAACUUAUAUAAGCCAUGGGAAAAUAAUCUCUGAGCAGUCAGCUUGCUGCCUGUGCCCAGGGCUGGGUGGGCUGCUGCCAGAUCACUUCUGGAAAGCGAUGGUUCUCAUCAGAUUAAAAGGAAACCUUUAAGUCCUUCUGCUACGGGACUUGAUCUGGGCACAAGACUGAUAGAGACAGGAGUGCCUUAAGUUCCAGAAAGCCUUAAUGAGAUCUAAAGGGUGGAGAAAGUGCUUAUUUCCUGCACCCGGCUUCUGGCAAAUGCAGUCACUGGGUGGGCAGUACAGUGCUCCUGGGGCUCCCAUGGGGUGGGAUGGGAUAGGCAGAGCAGUGCUCCAGGGGCCAUGAAAGAGGUUGGUUAGAGCAGCCUGCCUGCAGCACCCUUUGCUACCUGGGGAAUUCAGCCCCCAUUGCAGCGUGCCCGUGCUGCCAUGCCACACAGACAACAAAUGCACAGCACUUACAGCCAGGAGGAAUUCCUUGCCAUAAUCUUUCUCCUGUACAAGACAAGUGAGCCCCUCUGCCAGCCCCCAGGGUUAAACAACCCCACUGUAUGGCCCUGCUUGUACCACAACUGUGCAUUAAAUAUCUGAAAAUAUGAGACAAAGCCAUGACGUGAGCAUACAGAGCAUUGAACCACAGCAAGCCCAAACCCUCAGCACCACCUGCAGCUUUCUGGUGCACGGAACGUAAGGGCCCCUCAGCCAGGCAGUGCUGGGCUGCAUCAGCGCUCUGCAUCUGAGGGGAACUCCAUCACAGCAUAAACUCCUCAGGAAGCAGUUGUGCAAACGCUCCAAACUUUGUGCUCCAAAGCAGCUGCUCCCUGUGCCCCAGUGGAGCAGCAGGUACAGCCAUGCGCCUGGUUGUUUAGCAGGUACUUUAAAUCAGUGAAACCCCCUGAGAGGUGCUAAAAAAAUAAACAACUCUUCCUGACACAAGCACACCAAACUGCAGUCAGAGGUUCAGAGACACAGGCAAAGAAUUCCCUAAGAAGCCAUGUCCUCCUCACACCCAUCCUUAAUCCUGACAUCAAGGACAGUUUGCUGACUGCUCAAGUAUAAGAACACAUUAAAAGGUAUUUGCAAAAUGGCAGCAAUGGGGUUUACAGUGAGGACACUGCCUAGAACUACCAGGCUGCGUACAGCAGCACAUCACUACAGCCCUACUGCUGCCAGCAGAUGCAAACCGUGCUCCGAGAUUCACCACCUGCUGUAAUUGCUUAUAACCAGAAGGAUCUUCAGGCAAAAGCUAUUAUUAAGCUUGUUUCAACAUUUUACAGCUUGAUAUAAAGACCCUUACUGCAACAUGUAGAGUCAACGCUCGGAACUGCAUUGCCAUUUGUCAGGACAUAUAAAAUUUAAGUGGAUCAACAAAGUGUGUAAAUUGGCCUCUUAAUCCAUCACCUUAUUCUGUGUAUUAAACGGUAAAACCAAA